AGGGUAUAGCUCAGUGGUAGAAUGCCUGCUUGGUGUGCAUGAGGUCCUGGGUUCAAUCCCCAGUGACUCUG
This 71-nucleotide transfer RNA is filed under the name Camelus bactrianus (Bactrian camel). It matches the Rfam family "tRNA". From Rfam's summary of the family: Transfer RNA (tRNA) molecules are approximately 80 nucleotides in length. Their secondary structure includes four short double-helical elements and three loops (D, anti-codon, and T loops). The record is from Rfam by way of RNAcentral. RNAcentral also lists the same sequence under 2 other names. Lineage: Eukaryota; Metazoa; Chordata; Mammalia; Artiodactyla; Camelidae.